GAUGAAGAACGUAGCGAAAUGCGAUAAGUAAUGUGAAUUGCAGAAUUCAGUGAAUCAUCGAAUCUUUGAACGCACAUUGCGCCCCCUGGUAUUCCGGGGGGCAUGCCUGUUCGAGCGUCAUUUCAACCCUCAAGCUCUGCUUGGUAUUGGGCGUCGCCGGGGAGUCUCCCCGGCGUGCCUCAAAGCCAUCGGCGGUGGUGCCUUUCUCUAAGCGUGGUACAAUUUUUAUUCGCUUCUGAGUUGGGCUUCGCCUGCCGGACAAACCGGGCCCUCGCGGCCCACCUUCUCAGGUUGACCUCGGAUCAGGUAGGGAUACCCGCUGAACUUAAGCAUAUCAAUAAGCGGAGGA
RNAcentral lists this unclassified non-coding RNA (349 nucleotides) under soil metagenome. RNAcentral describes it as "partial contains 5.8S ribosomal RNA, internal transcribed spacer 2, and large subunit ribosomal RNA". The stretch from base 1 to 120 matches the Rfam family "5.8S ribosomal RNA", at positions 35 to 154 of the family's 154-position model. The record is from RNAcentral.